Molecule: non-coding RNA, 26 nt
Filed under: Rattus norvegicus (Norway rat)
Lineage: Eukaryota; Metazoa; Chordata; Mammalia; Rodentia; Muridae
Source: RNAcentral
UCCAGUGCUCCCUUGGUUGUCCUCAU